GUGGUUAAGCUACUAAGGGCACGUGGUGGAUGCCUUGGCGCCAGGAGGCGAGGAAGGGCGUGGCUACCUGCGAUAAGCCCCGGGGAGCCGGUAGCGGGCUGUGAUCCGGGGAUUCCCGAAUGGGGAAACCCACCAGGGGUAAUGCCCUGGUAUCGCCCUUUUUGGGCGAGGCGACACGGGGGGAAGUGAAACAUCUCAGUACCCCCAGGAAGAGAAAGCAACACGGCCCGAAAGGGCCGCGCCUCCGUUAAAGGACGGAGGUGGCGAUUCCCCGAGUAGCGGCGAGCGAAAGGGGAACAGCCCAAACCGCAUGGGUGUCAAGCCUGCGGGCGUUGCUCAUGCGGGGUUGUGGGGCCUCACUGGGCGGGGCCGCAGACCCGCCGGGAAGUUACAAAUCCAUCCCCUAGCCGAACAAGGUUGGAAAACCUGGCCAUAGAGGGUGAUAGCCCCGUAGGCGAAAGGGGAAUGGACUUCCUGAGUGAGGUACCCAAGUACCCCGGGACACGUGGAACCCUGGGGGAAUCCGGGAGGACCACCUCCCAAGGCUAAAUACUACCUGGCGACCGAUAGCGUACCAGUACCGUGAGGGAAAGGUGAAAAGAACCCCGGGAGGGGAGUGAAAUAGAACCUGAAACCGCGUGCCUACAAGCAGUCGGAGCCCUAUGCAGGUCUUCGAGGCCUGCACGUGGGUGACGGCGUACCUUUUGCAGAAUGAGCCGGGGAGUUACUGUCGGUGGCGAGGUUAAGCCGUAUAAGAGGCGAAGCCGUAGCGAAAGCGAGUCCGAACAGGGCGUUAAGUCGCCGGCAGUAGACCCGAAGCCGGGUGAUCUAUCCAUGCCCAGGGUGAAGGUGGGGUGAUACCCACUGGAGGCCCGAACGGGUUGGCGUUGAAAAGCCAUCCGAUGAGGUGUGGAUAGGGGUGAAAGGCCAAUCAAACCCGGUGAUAGCUGGUUCUCCCCGAAAUAUAUUGAGGUAUAGCCUCACGGAUGCUUACCGGAGGUAGAGCACUGGAUGGGCUAGGGCCCCGAAAGGGGUACCAAACCCAACCAAACUCCGAAUGCCGGUAAGUUCAACCGUGGGAGUCAGGCUGCGGGGGAUAAGCUCCGUAGCCGAGAGGGGAACAACCCAGACCGCCAGCUAAGGCCCCUAAAGCGCCCUAAGUGGGGAAGGAUGUGGGGGUGCUAAGACAGCCAGGAGGUAGGCUUAGAAGCAGCCACCCUUUAAAGAAAGCGUAACAGCUCACUGGUCGAGCGCCUCUGCGCCGAAAAUUUAGCGGGGCUCAAGGGCGCUGCCGAAGCUGCGGGUUCGGGAAAGGCGUCGGUCUUUCCCGAGCGGUAGGGGAGCGUUCCAGUUGCCUGUGAAGCCGGACCGUGAGGACCGGUGGAGGUGCUGGAAGUGAGUAUCCCGGCAUGAGUAGCGAUAAGGAGGGUGAGAAACCCUCCCGCCGUAAGCCUAAGGUUUCCCGGGCAAGGCUAAUCCGCCCGGGGUUAGCCGGCCCCUAAGCCGAGGCCGAAAGGCGUAGGUGAUGGGAAGCGGGUUAAUAUUCCCGCGCCAGCAGACGGCGUUUGAGCGAUGGGGGGACGCAGGAGGGUAGGCCAUCCGGGUGUUGGUCGUCCCGGUUCAAGCCGGUAGGGGGAGGUCCUAGGCAAAUCCGGGACCUCGUUAACCCCGAGAGGUGAGGACGAGCCCCGUAAGGGGCGAAGUGGCUGAUCCCACACUGCCAAGAAAAGCCUCUAGCGAGCCGUUCUGCUGACCGUACCGCAAACCGACACAGGUAGGCGGGGAGAGAAUCCUCAGGCGCUCGGGUGAACUCGGGUUAAGGAACUCGGCAAAUUGGCACCGUAACUUCGGGAGAAGGUGUGCCCUCAGUAGGUGUAGGGGUUUACCUCCGAAGCCGAGGAGGGUCGCAGCGAAGAGGCCCUGGCGACUGUUUACUAAAAACACAAGUCUCUGCGAAGUCGUAAGACGACGUAUAGGGACUGACGCCUGCCCGGUGCCGGAAGGUUAAGGGGAGGGGUAAAGCCCUUCGAUGAGGGGGUGUAGCUCUGAACCGAAGCCCCGGUAAACGGCGGCCGUAACUAUAACGGUCCUAAGGUAGCGAAAUUCCUUGUCGGGUAAGUUCCGACCUGCAUGAAAGGCGUAACGACUGGGGCGCUGUCUCAACCCGAGGCCCGGCGAAAUUGGAGUCGGGGUGAAGAUACCCCGUACCCGCGGUCAGACGGAAAGACCCCGUGCACCUUAACUACAGCCUGGCAUUGAAUCCUGGGGCAGCCUGUGCAGGAUAGGUGGGAGGCUGAGAAGCGGGGGCGCCAGCUCCCGUGGAGCCGUCGGUGAGAUACCACCCUGGUUGUCUUGGGGUUCUAACCUGCGGGGGUUAUCCUCCCGAGGGACAGUGCCUGGUGGGUAGUUUGACUGGGGCGGUCGCCUCCUAAAGGGUAACGGAGGCGCGCAAAGGUCCCCUCAGGCGGAUUGGAAACCCGCCGUGGAGUGCAAGGGCAGAAGGGGGCUUGACUGCGAGGCCGACGGGCCGAGCAGGCGCGAAAGCGGGCCCUAGUGAUCCGGCGGUCCCGUGUGGAAGGGCCGUCGCUCAUCGGAUAAAAGGUACGCCGGGGAUAACAGGCUAAUCCCGCCCAAGAGUUCACAUCGACGGCGGGGUUUGGUACCUCGAUGUCGGCUCAUCCCAUCCUGGGGCUGGAGAAGGUCCCAAGGGUCGGGCUGUUCGCCCGUUAAAGGGGUACGUGAGCUGGGUUUAGAACGUCGCGAGACAGUUCGGUCCCUAUCUGCCGCGGGCGCAGGAGAUCUGAGGGGAGCUGUCCCUAGUACGAGAGGACCGGGACGGACGCACCUCUGGUGUACCGGUUGUCCCGCCAGGGGCACAGCCGGGUAGCCAACGUGCGGAAGGGAUAACCGCUGAAAGCAUCUAAGCGGGAAGCCCCCCCCAAGAUAAGAUCUCCCUCCUUGUCCCGUAAGGGACGAGGGUAAGGCCCCGGGGAGAUUACCCGGUUGAUAGGCCGGAGGUGGAAGCUCAGCAAUGGGUGAAGCCGACCGGUACUAAUAGGCCGAGAGGCUUAACCAUU
This 3077-nucleotide ribosomal RNA is filed under the name Deltaproteobacteria bacterium. RNAcentral describes it as "23S ribosomal RNA". It matches the Rfam family "Bacterial large subunit ribosomal RNA". Lineage: Bacteria; Pseudomonadati; Myxococcota; Myxococcia. The record is from RNAcentral.